Molecule: small nuclear RNA, 106 nt
Filed under: Piliocolobus tephrosceles (Ugandan red Colobus)
Lineage: Eukaryota; Metazoa; Chordata; Mammalia; Primates; Cercopithecidae
Source: RNAcentral
AUGCUCGCUUUGGCAGCUCACCUCUUAAAAUUGGAACCAUACAGAGAUUAGCAUGGUCUCAGUGCAAGGAUGACAUAAGCAUUCCAUCUAAAAAUAAAAAAAGCAA